AAAGCGCCGUCGCCGCUGCCCAGGGGGAAGGCCGGCUGCAGGGCCACCGGCCGGGCAUCGGCGCGGCGGAACUUGGGCGCGAAGCUGAGCAGGUCGCCACCGCCCCCGGCGCCGCCGCACGACACGUACUCCAGAUACUAUUCUUCCAUGAAAAUGAUCCAGACUAGCUAUAGGAACCAGUCAAGAUGUUUUGCCACAAGAUCUAGGACAAGAGGACUUAACCAACAUGUCCCGUCUUGCAGAUCUCCUGGGGACCCUUCACCUGCUUCUGCUACUGCAAACAAUUGGACAUCCAUUUACCUGGACUCUUUUUUCAAGUGUGGAAGCCUUUUGUGCACUGUGCAUCAGGCUGGACCUGGCCUGAAAUUUCUGAAAGAAGGACCAAAGGAAUGCCAAGAACUCCCAGAUGAAGAGGACCUCUCUAGAUUUGUAACUGGGUCUACUAACCAAGUCUUAACUUCAGGAGGAAGUUUCAACUAAUUAUCAGGAUAAGUCAAAACAGGCCUGUGACUGCCCUUUGAAUACUGAAGGUGUCAACAAGCUUCUGGCUUCCCCAGGUCAAGUAGAAGUUGGGUUCCUUCUUUGUUAUUCAAACACACACACACACACACACACACACACACACACAGCCACUUCACCCUCCCUAAUGAAAAACCUCAACAGAUGGAGAGCCUAGGCUCCCCAGCCUGCUGGCUGGGAAGAUGCACUUCACUCAAGGGUCAGUCAGCUGGCACAGGGAGAAGGGAGUAGCUGGUAUAGGUAAUCACUAUAUUUCAAAACUCUCUUCAGCAAGGUUAGCAUCCUCUGGGGCCUGGGAAACCAAUGUGGCUACUGUGUCUCUGAUAGGGACUGGGCUUGGGGCUGUACCAAGGGGAAAGUCCUCUACGUUCUCCCCCUCUCAUUGGAAAGCCCGUACAAAGAAAUGGUACAAACGGGUGGUUAGCAAUGAUUCCAUCAGAGGCGGAUUUUUCUCUGUCAGGUCCCUGGAUGAAGUUGAGGUCUGAAAGCCAGAAGGUGGAGUAUAUAUUUAAUCACCCUUCCUUACUGCCUUCCCAGGGGCCAGGACUACCCUUCAGGCCUUUCCUCUUGCCACCUCGCCACCCCUCUGGCUAGCUCCAUUGGAUCUCCUCCCAUCACUCCGGGCUGGGGCCUGCGUCUCUCCGGGUAGCCAGGGCACGCUCUGCCCGGAGCUCUUUUCCUCCCCUUUUGCCGUGGGCCGCCCCUGCUGCCUCACCUCUACCUUGCUUUAUUUCUCGCUUGAUUGAAAGGAACCGCUGCCACUCCCAUCCGUGGGCGGGGGCUUGAGGCCCGCACCCUUUUCUUCUCGGCUCGGGGGGGAUUCCCCCACAGCCUUCCCGAUCACCUCCCCCAAAGCGGUCUCUGCAGGGAAAAGCCGAGCUGGUCUAGGCCUGAGCCGAAGAGGCAUUUCCUCCCCUCCACUGGGCAAACGAAGUGAACCUCCUGGAGACGCAGGCCCGGAGCUAGGCGAGGCCCUUCCCCACCUCCAGUGGCCGCCCAGCGUGGCCUUUGUGCCGCCUUCCCCGCCUCCGCGGCGCGCACAAUGGUGCAGCCGCUCCGGAAGGCGGGCGGCCCGGGGCGUCCCCAGCCCCGCGCCCGGCGGCGAGGGCCAGCAGCCUGGAGGCCUUGGUGCGGCCCCUGUUGUCCCCUGCGCGCCCGUCACGGGGUGGGGCGGCGGUUUGCUGUCCUGCCAGCUCGCCCCUUCCCGCGGCAGGCCCCCCGGGAGCCGCAGCCUGAACCCGAGCGCCGCCGCCGGCCGCUCCC
Myotis daubentonii (Daubenton's bat) is the source of this 1782-nucleotide long non-coding RNA. RefSeq lists it as uncharacterized. NCBI's taxonomy places the organism in Eukaryota, Metazoa, Chordata, Mammalia, Chiroptera, Vespertilionidae. The record is from RefSeq and is a predicted model, not a curated record.